Small nuclear RNA from Vulpes vulpes (red fox), 132 nucleotides. Its record names the gene U4. It matches the Rfam family "U4 spliceosomal RNA". From Rfam's summary of the family: U4 small nuclear RNA (U4 snRNA) is a component of the major U2-dependent spliceosome. The structure of U4 snRNA from yeast and human has been reported. U4 snRNA presents a k-turn RNA motif in the 5p-SL related to recognition of Snu13 protein. The record is from Ensembl. Lineage: Eukaryota; Metazoa; Chordata; Mammalia; Carnivora; Canidae.
CUUUUUGCGCAGUGGCAGUAUCGUAGCCAAUGAGGUUUAUCCGAGGUGCGAUUAUUGCUAAUGGAAUCCUGAGGUUAUGUCAAUAGUGUUGUGUAAACUAUCCUAGUUAAUCAAGGUAGGCUCUGCUUUGUG